GGCGCUGUGGCUCAAGUGGUAGAGCGCUAGCCUUGAGCCUGAGGUCCUGGGUUCGAUUCCUCAGCACCA
RNAcentral lists this transfer RNA (69 nucleotides) under Dipodomys ordii (Ord's kangaroo rat). It matches the Rfam family "tRNA". Rfam says of the family: Transfer RNA (tRNA) molecules are approximately 80 nucleotides in length. Their secondary structure includes four short double-helical elements and three loops (D, anti-codon, and T loops). Further hydrogen bonds mediate the characteristic L-shaped molecular structure. tRNAs have two regions of fundamental functional importance: the anti-codon, which is responsible for specific mRNA codon recognition, and the 3' end, to which the tRNAs corresponding amino acid is attached (by aminoacyl-tRNA synthetases). tRNAs cope with the degeneracy of the genetic code in two manners: having more than one tRNA (with a specific anti-codon) for a particular amino acid; and 'wobble' base-pairing, i.e. permitting non-standard base-pairing at the 3rd anti-codon position. Lineage: Eukaryota; Metazoa; Chordata; Mammalia; Rodentia; Heteromyidae. The record is from Rfam by way of RNAcentral.